UCUGUUGAACCAGUAAGACUCCAAGCUGUUGCUUUCUGAACCAGUCGUGAUGUCCAGCAUCACUGAGACUCUACCAGACCUCACGGGAAGGUUUGUUUAUCGUCUGCGUUGUGAAAGGACACAAACAAACAAAAAAUAAAAAGGGAUCAGAAAUCGAACCUUGCGCGGUUUCAUCAGCACCACGUGAUUUUAGGCUCCAAUUUAAUGACGUUUACGUUCAAAAAUAUUGAAUGUUUUUUUUCACCUCAGGCAACGUUUGGAAAGUAUGAGCGAUAUAACGAUGGAUGCAGCGCGUGGGAGGAAGAGGAGGAGGAGGAGCGGUGAGACAGGGGGCGUGUCCUCACCGCGGGGAGGCUUUUACAGCCCAAUCAGCGUGCAUCGCCAGCCAUAUUGUAACUUUUACUGAAGUCGGUUCAAGUUUUGUGCACCAGCUGUGCGUGGAUUUCCUCUAAAGGAGCAUCAGGAGCAUCAGGAGCUGGAGUACAAGCGGCCCGCAGCAGCAUGAACACAGCCCGGUUUGUAGUCACCAUGCGCAGAGGAGGUGCGCAGACCUUCCGACGACCUCAGCUCCUCCUGGCUGCUUAUUCUCCCACAGUUCAGUGCUGUCUGGAGUCGACCCAGGCAGUUCCUGCCGCCCGGCUUCCCUACAGGGUGAAGCUGUCUGCUGGAAAACGCUACGCCUGGUGCGCUUGUGGCCACAGCAAGAAGCAGG
Neolamprologus brichardi is the source of this 712-nucleotide non-coding RNA. The record is from RefSeq and is a predicted model, not a curated record. NCBI's taxonomy places the organism in Eukaryota, Metazoa, Chordata, Actinopteri, Cichliformes, Cichlidae.